RNAcentral lists this non-coding RNA (136 nucleotides) under Paramoeba aestuarina. The record is from RNAcentral. Lineage: Eukaryota; Discosea; Flabellinia; Dactylopodida; Paramoebidae.
AGAAGGAGCCAGAGAAGGAAAAGGAGAAGGAAAAGAAGAGGAACCAACCCCCUCACUCUCAUCCUCUGUUUCUCUCUCUCCUACCCUCCUUUUAUUUUCUUUCUCUCCCUCAACCCCCUUCUCUCUCUCUUCUAAA